This 447-nucleotide ribosomal RNA is filed under the name uncultured bacterium. Its description in RNAcentral is "bacterial SSU rRNA". It matches the Rfam family "Bacterial small subunit ribosomal RNA", at positions 28 to 481 of the family's 1533-position model. The record is from RNAcentral.
GAUGAACGCUGGCGGCGUGCUUAACACAUGCAAGUCGAACGGGAUCGGCUGGAGCUUGCUCCGGCCGUGAGAGUGGCGAACGGGUGAGUAAUGCGUGACCGACCUGCCCCAUACACCGGAAUAGCUCCUGGAAACGGGUGGUAAUGCCGGAUGCUCCGACAUGACGCAUGUCGUGUCGGGAAAGAUUCAUCGGUAUGGGAUGGGGUCGCGUCCUAUCAGCUUGAUGGCGGGGUAACGGCCCACCAUGGCUUCGACGGGUAGCCGGCCUGAGAGGGCGACCGGCCACAUUGGGACUGAGAUACGGCCCAGACUCCUACGGGAGGCAGCAGUGGGGAAUAUUGCACAAUGGGCGCAAGCCUGAUGCAGCGACGCCGCGUGCGGGAUGACGGCCUUCGGGUUGUAAACCGCUUUUGACUGGGAGCAAGCCCUUCGGGGUGAGUGUACCUU